GCACGCUGAUCAGUAGUCGGACGUGCUGGUAAUGUGGGGAUGUCAUUGUCGAGCACAUAGCCUAUUUUCUCGCAACUCAGAACAAUUUUGAGAUUUCUAAGCCAGUCUCUGUAAUUGGUACCGGUCAAUCGGUUGGUCUCAAGAAUACGAGUCAAAGAGUUUGAGGCUGACAUUAUGAUCUGCAGAGAGUAAAGAUUCUAGCUAGACUUUUAUACUUGAUCUUAAUCUGUUCUAGGGUCUUUUAGAACAAAUGUACCUCCCACUAUUUCCUCAAAUUCCUCACACUCUCCUGGUAGGAAAACGGAAAACUUACACGACUAGGGUUUCUAGUGGGUACUGCGGUCCCACCGAUUUACAUGCCACCUCACCUAAUAGUUAUUGGUGACACAUAAAUAGAUGAGUAUACAACUCUUGUACAAUGCUUCUCAAGCAUGUUGCAGUGCUACUUGGUCUCUAAGUCAUGAAGACCUCACCUAACAGUUAUUGGCCCCAUUCCUUAGUUAAAUCAGACCCACCGUAUAACCGUAGAAAUAAAGUUGCCAUUGGAUCCUCACCU
RNAcentral lists this long non-coding RNA (556 nucleotides) under Phoenix dactylifera (date palm). Its description in RNAcentral is "long non-coding RNA (PDAC_LNC011816)". Lineage: Eukaryota; Viridiplantae; Streptophyta; Magnoliopsida; Arecales; Arecaceae. The record is from RNAcentral.